RNAcentral lists this small RNA (174 nucleotides) under uncultured Neobacillus sp. RNAcentral describes it as "SR1 sRNA". The record is from RNAcentral. Lineage: Bacteria; Bacillati; Bacillota; Bacilli; Caryophanales; Bacillaceae.
AUAAAUUAGAUAAAACGCUUACAUUCUGUUUUAAAGGAGCUGAUCAACAUGGGAACGAUUGUAUGCCAGACUUGCAAUUCAACAAUUGAUCAUUUCGAGGAUGAAAAGGUAACAGUCCUUUAUUCAAAAUGCACUUGCGACAAGUGCUCUAGCCACGAAGAUGAAUUAUAAAAA